RNAcentral lists this long non-coding RNA (574 nucleotides) under Setaria viridis. RNAcentral describes it as "long non-coding RNA (SVIR_LNC006324)". Lineage: Eukaryota; Viridiplantae; Streptophyta; Magnoliopsida; Poales; Poaceae. The record is from RNAcentral.
UUGUCGGGGUAAGGAAGCUGAGGCUUGAGAAUGCAUUGUUUCAGAGCUAAUGACAGAGCAUCCGACGCUCAGAUUUUCUUUGAAUCUGUAAUACCGAUUUCAGGCUUAAAUGUAAUUGCAAUUUUUUUUUACAAAUGAUCCAACACAGGAGUUAAGUUUUGAUCUCAGUACAGGAGUUAAGGAAAACGGUUUCAACAAACAAUUGUGUUUUUCAGAUUAAUAAUCCUGUUGAAACCGUUUUCCUUGCAAAAGGUAAUACCAAGCAAGGAUUCUUAAAAAGAAAAGAAAAGAGAGUCCAAGUAUGUUUUAACUUGUAAUGUUCAACUGUCCAAUUUAUAGAUGUUCUUUUGCCCCACCAAAGCAUUUUAUUGGCCAAACUCCUCUGAAAUAUCACAUAAACAAACAGAGGGGGUAGAGCAUACUUCGCGAGACUAUGGAACAGCUAUGAAGAUGCCCUUGCAGGCUUGCAGGAAUCAUUGUCUACGGAAAACAAAAUUAUAGAAAAAAAUAUUUAUUUGCUCUCUAAAACUAAGAUGCUUUCUUACUAAUCCUGAAACCAUACCCUGUCUUGGUU